UACGUAGGGUGCGAGCGUUGUCCGGAAUUAUUGGGCGUAAAGAGCUUGUAGGCGGUUUGUCGCGUCUGCUGUGAAAACCCGCAGCUCAACUGUGGGCUUGCAGCUGAUACGGGCAGGCUUGAGUUCGGUAGGGGAGACUGGAAUUCCUGGUGUAGCGGUGAAAUGCGCAGAUAUCAGGAGGAACACCGGUGGCGAAGGCGGGUCUCUGGGCCGAUACUGACGCUGAGGAGCGAAAGCGUGGGGAGCGAACAGG
RNAcentral lists this ribosomal RNA (253 nucleotides) under uncultured bacterium. RNAcentral describes it as "partial 16S ribosomal RNA". It matches the Rfam family "Bacterial small subunit ribosomal RNA", at positions 524 to 776 of the family's 1533-position model. The record is from RNAcentral.